Molecule: unclassified non-coding RNA, 209 nt
Filed under: Hevea brasiliensis (rubber tree)
Lineage: Eukaryota; Viridiplantae; Streptophyta; Magnoliopsida; Malpighiales; Euphorbiaceae
Source: RNAcentral
GGAUAUACAAAGGUAAGACAAUAUUAUCACCUUGAAAAUAUGGAAAGCAGAGAUUUGGAUGUUUUUGCUCGAGUCCUUUAGUAGAUUCAUCAUAACUUUCAAAUGGCCGACUUCUGCUAUAUAACGCUUCAUAAUAAGGGAGUUGGGAGGCUCCAGUAGAAAUUCUGAGAGAAGCUAUACUUCAUGAAACAUUUAUCAGCAGCGGAAGA